Molecule: unclassified non-coding RNA, 209 nt
Filed under: soil metagenome
Description: partial contains 5.8S ribosomal RNA, internal transcribed spacer 2, and large subunit ribosomal RNA
Source: RNAcentral
AACCUAGCACACCUGCGGUGUGUACCUGCGGAGGGAUCAUUACCGAGUUUACAACUCCCAAACCCCUGUGAACAUACCUAUACGUUGCCUCGGCGGAUCAGCCCGCGCCCUGUAAAAAGGGACGGCCCGCCCGAGGACCCUAAACUCUGUUUUUAGUGGAACUUCUGAGUAAAACAAACAAAUAAAUCAAAACUUUCAACAACGGAUCU